Molecule: non-coding RNA, 2205 nt
Organism: Paramormyrops kingsleyae
Lineage: Eukaryota; Metazoa; Chordata; Actinopteri; Osteoglossiformes; Mormyridae
Source: RefSeq, a predicted model, not a curated record
GUUACUGGCCUCCCCUGACUGGUCCAGUGGUUCCAAAAGAGAAUACGAUGGGCAGGUCGCGCGGUGGAUGAAGCGUCACUGUGCUGGCAGGGUGCAUUUCUCGACUCUCCAUCUUCAGAAUCCGUACCCCGAGGCGUCACUUUGUGAAAUGGCCACCAGGUGGCGACUAUAGCUGUUCUUUUUCAGUGUCAAGACGACAGUUGUAGCAGGAGAGCGGAGAAGAACCAGAUGGUGAGAUGGGCUUUGUUCUGGCUGUCCCACACCGUGACUCCAAGCCCAGCGAAUAUACAUGCUCCGUGUGUAACUCCUCCGUGACACCAAGUCUCAGGGUUCAUGAACUACGACUGUGAUGGUUCUUCGGAGGUGGAGAUGGGUGAGGCGUUUUACGCGGAACCCAGAUUGGAUGCAUAAAUUGAGCAGAUGUGUGCAUGCAAAUAGAAUUGUAAAAUAUGCUUAGGAGCUAAUUAAUCGCAUCUAUAAGAGCAGAGGGUGGCUGUAAGCAGAGGAGGCGGGACAAAGUCAGGUGACGAGCACAUUCACUUCACCCUGAUGCCUGAGUCCACAUAUUCUAGGCCCUGUGUGGCUCAGUGGGUUAGGAUCCUGUUAGCGAUUUAGAUCACAGGGUCGGCAGUGAUUUCACCUCUUACCAUUGGAUGCCAUUCUGAACCUAAAAAAAGCAUCUACUGAAUGUAACUCCAGUGUGUGUCUCACCUUCUGUUGACACCAGAAUGGCUCCCUUUUGCUUCUCAUUCCUCACCGCCAUCUUUGUUAAACCCGUCUCCACAUUUUUCCUCUUUCAACAUUCAGGUACAUGAUCGAUGAGUGAGCCUGUCAGGAAAGCCGAGCCACAUCCCAGGCAUCACAUCCUGUACCUCACCAUUAUGAGCACCGGUCAGGGAGCGGUUGUCCCGAUGGGCGGAGACUGACUGGACCUCGGGAAUGACAUAGACGAGAUGUGGGCAGGGCCUGCACUGAUUUGUCAGUCUAUUUAAAUGCUGGACAAGAGGCAAACCCAAAGAAUGUCACUCCAGGAAGCGCCCGGCACUGUACACUCUGGGUGGCGGCCAGCCCGUCGCAGAUCUCCUCCUCGUGAACCCAUUCUGCUCUCCUGCCGCUGCGGGCCAACCUCCCGUGCUCACUGGAAGCUCAGCAAGAACAUACUCUACCUCUAUUGCUGACCAAGUACACUGUAAUGGCCUACAUCUCUGUGCACCCAGAGGGUGUCAGGAAAAUCUAUACUGCCCGAAUUUUGCUGAUAGUUUGUUUUAAAAUAGAUAAAUAUUUGCAUACAUACACAUAUCCAUAUACUCGUAUAUGUACACAUAUAUAAUACAUAUCUUCUUGAGCUACAUAUAUGAUAUUUAUCUUCCUGAGCUAUAUAACACAGCCUGGUGCUUGAAAUGUGAAUGUACAGCUACGGCCUGUUAAACUGAGUCCUAAUACUAAAAGUGUCUCAAGGAGACUCACUCCGAUGUCUUGGCUGUGUCACUAAUAGCCAGACUGAUGGUUCAAUCCUGAUUUCUUCUCUUACUGUCACUCUUCUCCCUUCUUACUUGGCGUGGAGCGUAACUGUAUGCAUCCCCAGGGUGCAAAGUGCCAAAGUGGAUUAUAUUAGUCACUUUUACAUAAUGUAGGAGUCCAAGUGUGGGACUAUCUAGCCAUAUAUGUAUAACUUGUAUUUUCAGUUACUGCUAACAGUCAUUAAUAGUGGGAUAUGGGCCUUUCUUAUUAGCCAGUAUUUAUAUUUAUACUCUGAAAAACACUCAGCAGCACAGAAUGAUGCAAUAUCAUCCCCUGGAUAUUUCUUCUGUCGUGUUCCCAAAAUACAAUCUGCGAAGCUUCAAAAAUGAAUAAGGCAGAUUAAAACAUGAUCACACGGUGCAGUGAGCGUGAGGCCCACGCUGCCUGCGGCACGAGGCUGAGAUCGCGCCAGGAACGGCAGAUACCGCGCGCGAUUGGAAAACGCUCCUCCGUUACAAUGGCAUCACGUCGGUUAGCGCGACGCUUUAAUCAACUUAAUAAUUUGUUGUGGCGUCUUAUUAGCAAGUUGCUACCGUAGCUCUGUUUCAGACUCCAGAAAGCACAAACUCUUGUCUGAUUGUUUCUCAUCCCAUUACGAUAUUUAUGGGGGAAUAAGAUGUGGUGUUUGUUGUGUGCAAAUUAAAAUAUUGUGAUCCACAUUUGAUUUUGGUAACACUUUACUUC